GGUGGUUGCUGCUCCUAAUUAAAGUGCUUAAGGUACAACAAACACAACUAUUCGCAGAAUCAAUGGAAGAUCCCUGACCAUUCGAGCUAAUGCCUACACCACGGUCAGUCUCUUGGAUACUCUUCACACUCCAACAGUAUAUGCUGUACGUAUACUCUAAAGCUCGAUCGAGGUAAUUCGAGCAAUUCUAGGAGGUGGGUUCUUAACAUCUUGUUCAUGUUAUUCCUCCAUUUUAAUAUUUAGGGUGUUGAUACAUAGUUCCUUUUUCUUUUUUGAAUGUUUUUUCAAGUUGGUUUUUAGUUUGUUAAUGAAAUGUAUAGUUCAGUAUCAAAUGGUUUAUACUUUUGUACAAGCAGGGGUUUUAUAGUUGAGGAAAAACAGAUGUAUAAACAUUGCUGAAUAUGGGAAAUAAAUAUCUUU
This 420-nucleotide unclassified non-coding RNA is filed under the name Hevea brasiliensis (rubber tree). The record is from RNAcentral. Lineage: Eukaryota; Viridiplantae; Streptophyta; Magnoliopsida; Malpighiales; Euphorbiaceae.